RNAcentral lists this ribosomal RNA (762 nucleotides) under Sclerophytum humile. Its description in RNAcentral is "partial 28S ribosomal RNA". It matches the Rfam family "Eukaryotic large subunit ribosomal RNA", at positions 402 to 965 of the family's 3401-position model. Lineage: Eukaryota; Metazoa; Cnidaria; Anthozoa; Malacalcyonacea; Sarcophytidae. The record is from RNAcentral.
AAACCGUUGAAAGGGAAGCGAAUGGAGUUAGCAAUUCGCCCUGCCAGAUUCAGUUGUUCGCGCUUCGCAACGCGCGCGCUCUCGAUCCACAUGGACGUGACGUGCACGGGUGCGACGUGCGGACGGCGCACUUCUGGCGGGCGAGCGUCAGCGUCGGUCGCCGAUGGGCUAUAAGGUCGCGAGGAAGGUAGACGUGCCUUCGGGCGCGUUGUUAAGACUCGCGCUCGCAUGGCUCGACGGCGACCGUGGCUCCUUCACACGGAGGCGACGCGUGCCUGGCUGGCGACGCGUGCGAUCGGUCCGGCAUGUCGACCGUGGCGGACGGCACGCCUGUGCGCUCGAACUGCUGCCGGUCGCUCGCACGCUGCUCGCACACUACGCGUCGAAGACGCUGACGACCAUACGGCUCCAUCCGACCCGUCUUGAAACACGGACCAAGGAGUCUAACAUGUCCGCAAGUCUCCGGGUGAUCGAAACCCGUGGGCGCAAUGAAAGUAAAGGUCGUCCUAGACGAUUGAGGUGAGAAGCGCGCUUCGUCUCGACGCGCGCCGCAUCAUCGACCGACCUAUUCUGCUCUCAGAAAGGUUUGAGUAAGAGCGUAUCUGUUGGGACCCGAAAGAUGGUGAACUAUGCCUGAAUAGGGUGAAGCCAGCGGAAACACUGGUGGAAGCUCGUAGCGAUUCUGACGUGCAAAUCGAUCGUCGAAUUUGGGUAUAGCGGCGAAAGACUAAUCGAACCAUCUAGUAGCUGGUUCCCUCCGAA